This 407-nucleotide ribosomal RNA is filed under the name uncultured bacterium. RNAcentral describes it as "partial 16S ribosomal RNA". It matches the Rfam family "Bacterial small subunit ribosomal RNA", at positions 30 to 526 of the family's 1533-position model. The record is from RNAcentral.
AUUGAACGCUGGCGGCAGGCCUAACACAUGCAAGUCGAGCGGCUCGGCGGUCGGGUGCUUCAUGCCUAGGUAUCUGCCUGUUAGUGGGGUAUAACGUCCGGUAACGGGCCCUACUACCGCAUACUAUCAGAUGAUCCUAGGUCGGAUUAGCUAGUUGGUGGGGUAAAGGCCUACAAAGGCGACGAUCCGUAACUGGUCUGAGAGGAUGAUCAGUCACACUGGAACUGAGACACGGUCCAGACUCCUACGGGAGGCAGCAGUGGGGAAUAUUGGACAAUGGGCGAAAGCCUGAUCCAGCCAUGCCGCGUGUGUGAAGAAGGUCUUCGGAUUGUAAAGCACUUUAAGUUGGGAGGCGUUACCAACAGAAUAAGCAACGGCUAACUUCGUGCCAGCCGCCGCGGUAAUAC